CAAUAGCGUAUAUUAAAGUUGUUGCAGUUAAAAAGCUCGUAGUUGGAUUUGUGGCGUACGGUGUGUUCCGGGCACUUGUUGUCUGCGUAACCUGCUGUUGCCAUCCUUGGGUGGAACCUGUGUGGCAUUAGGUUGUCGUGCAGGGGAUGCCCAUCAUUUACUGUGAAAAAAUUAGAGUGUUCAAAGCAGGCUUAUGCCGUUGAAUAUAUUAGCAUGGAAUAAUGAGAUAGGACUUUUUUGCUAUUUUGUUGGUUUGCGCAAAGAGGUAAUGAUUAAUAGGGACAGUUGGGGGUAUUCGUAUUCCAUUGUCAGAGGUGAAAUUCUUGGAUUUUUGGAAGACGAACUACUGCGAAAGCAUUUACCAAGGAUGUUUUCAUUAA
This 380-nucleotide ribosomal RNA is filed under the name uncultured eukaryote. RNAcentral describes it as "partial 18S ribosomal RNA". It matches the Rfam family "Eukaryotic small subunit ribosomal RNA", at positions 592 to 976 of the family's 1831-position model. The record is from RNAcentral.